Molecule: ribosomal RNA, 479 nt
Filed under: Haemophilus influenzae
Lineage: Bacteria; Pseudomonadati; Pseudomonadota; Gammaproteobacteria; Pasteurellales; Pasteurellaceae
Description: bacterial SSU rRNA
Rfam family: Bacterial small subunit ribosomal RNA
Source: RNAcentral
GCUUAACACAUGCAAGUCGGACGGUAGCAGGAGAAAGCUUGCUUUCUUGCUGACGAGUGGCGGACGGGUGAGUAAUGCUUGGGAAUCUGGCCUAUGGAGGGGGGAUAACGACGGGAAACUGUCGCUAAUACCGCGUAUUAUCGGAAGAUGAAAGUGGGGGACUGAGAGGCCGCAUGCCAUAGGAUGAGCCCAAGUGGGAUUAGGUAGUUGGUGGGGUAAAGGCCUACCAAGCCUGCGAUCUCUAGCUGGUCUGAGAGGAUGACCAGCCACACUGGAACUGAGACACGGUCCAGACUCCUACGGGAGGCAGCAGUGGGGAAUAUUGCGCAAUGGGGGGAACCCUGACGCAGCCAUGCCGCGUGAAUGAAGAAGGCCUUAGGGUUGUAAAGUUCUUUCGGUAUUGAGGAAGGUUGAUGUGUUAAUAGCACAUCAAAUUGACGUUAAAUACAGAAGAAGCACCGGCUAACUCCGUGCCAGCA